CCUACGGGGGGCAGCAGUUGGGAAUAUUGGGCAAUGGGCGCAAGCCUGACCCAGCAACGCCGCGUGAAGGAAGAAGGCUUUCGGGUUGUAAACUUCUUUUCUGAGGGACGAAGAAAGUGACGGUACCUCAGGAAUAAGCCACGGCUAACUACGUGCCAGCAGCCGCGGUAAUACGUAGGUGGCAAGCGUCAUCCGGAUUUAUUGGGAGUAAAGGGCGUGGAGGCGGGAAAUCAAGUCAGAUGUGAAAACUCAGGGCUCAACCCUGAGCCUGCAUUUGAAACUAUUUUUCUUGAGUGCUGGAGAGGCAAUCGGAAUUCCGGGUGUAGCGGUGAAAUGCGUAGAUAUACGGAGGAACACCAGUGGCGAAGGCGGAUUGCUGGACAGUAACUGACGCUGAGGCGCGAAAGCGUGGGGAGCAAACAGGAUUAGAUACCCGGGUAGUC
This 443-nucleotide ribosomal RNA is filed under the name uncultured bacterium. RNAcentral describes it as "partial 16S ribosomal RNA". It matches the Rfam family "Bacterial small subunit ribosomal RNA", at positions 338 to 795 of the family's 1533-position model. The record is from RNAcentral.